AUCACUUCCUUAAAAAAAACAUGCUCAAGGUUUCAUUGUCUGAAAGAUAUAUUCAAAAGCUCGGCAGAGAACGUUGAUAAGGAACAUGAAUUGUGAUGUAAUAUAGAGAAAUAAUUUUCAAAUAGAAUAUACGGAGUUCAAGAGAAAAGCAAUGCCUGCGUUAUGUAUAAUAAUCAACAUUUAUGAAAGAAGAUAUUCUAAGCCCAAGAUCAAAUUGUGGUGUGGCGAUGCCUUUGACGAGAAGUCUGGAAUCAAACUGAGCGAAGGCAGCGUCCUGGCCAGGACCGAAGCCAGAUUGAUAGAGGGGAGAACGAAUGUAGGAUUCUAGGGGCUGCGAAGUGUGAGG
Molecule: unclassified non-coding RNA, 346 nt
Filed under: Athalia rosae (coleseed sawfly)
Lineage: Eukaryota; Metazoa; Arthropoda; Insecta; Hymenoptera; Athaliidae
Description: misc RNA ENSAEAG00005012550.1
Source: RNAcentral